Molecule: long non-coding RNA, 1354 nt
Organism: Passer domesticus (house sparrow)
Lineage: Eukaryota; Metazoa; Chordata; Aves; Passeriformes; Passeridae
Exons: 3
Source: RefSeq, a predicted model, not a curated record
GCCACCACUGCCAGCCAUGACUGCUGCACAACGUGAACUGAAUUUGACCACAAUGACCCAAAAGAGACCCAGAGCUGCGACUGACAACCUGGAGCUGCCUGCCGUGGAUAACCCUGCCAGGAAGCAGGAUGGAUUCUUAGCCAAGCACAGGAAAGUGGAGGAAGACCCCGAGGAGCAAACCCCAAGCCAUCACCAUUGGUAUCCAGGAGGGCUGGUGGGAGUAUUCCUGCAACCCAGGCGUGCUGUGUGAUGCACUGCAGAAACAUCCUCUCAGAUAAGUGACCAUUUCUGACUGUAGGCAGCUGCAACUAAAAUGAGUGUGUGUACAAAAAGGAGUGUGUUUAUAAAAAGAAAAGGACUGCAAUCUGGGCCUUAGGUUGUAUAUCAUUCAGAGGGAAUUGCUGCAUUUAUGGGUUAAAAAAUUAGAAUUUACUUGCUUUUUAUAAAAAAUUUGGCAGUUUAAUGAUGGCUUGGGACAUGGGGUCUAUGAUAUUUGGGGGUGAGGGAGCAUGUGUCUCUGUUCUGUCUUAGGCCAGACUGUGCACAGUGCAUUAGCUGCCUUCUAACUGCUUGCUUUUUCCUGAUCAUUUUCCUGCUUCCAGCCCUCACUGCACUCCCAGCUAUUGAGCAAGGAAAUCUGCUGCUGAAUUUCUCUGUGCUUGGGAGAAGUUGAAUGGUGCAAAGCAUUGUGAGCUGCCAGGGAUCUGCAGAGGAUGAGAAGAAUCCUUUUCCAGUGCCUUCUGUGCCACAUGAAGCCAAGACAAGAAGACCUGAAGUUAGGACAAGUUUGCUGCUGAACAAAGCCAAGUGAGGGGCCCAAGAGCUGGCCUGACCUCACACAGAGAAUGGUUCAGAACUUUCAGUGACCAAGUGCCCUAACUGGGUCUCCAGGAUGUAAAUAGUUCCAAGUUCUCUAGUCUAUCGAAACCUUACAAACACUUUUGUUUUAUUUACUGUUCAAUGCAAAACACCUGCUUUUUUUUGUUUGUUUUGUUUUGUUUUAAAUACAGUUGUGUGUUCUUUUGGUUACUUUUGGAAAUCCUUGUGGUUUUUGAGGAUAAUGCUUUUCUAUCUUGCAAAAGAAGGGAUGGGCUGUGGUAUCAGCCAUUAAGAUAAAACUGUGGAGAGAAGGAUGGUGUAAUAUUCACUAUAAAAUAACUGGUGGUUAAUGAAAUAAAAUAAAAAACCCCACAGCGUUAUGUGUACUAAAACCAGUGGCCAAAAAGGCAGUGGUCAGACUAAAUGAUAGAGAUUCAAACAGGAAGGCAGCUGUCCCCAGACAUGUACAUUUCAGGGGAUUUCUCUUCUCUGACAGGAGGCAUUUUGGUAAGCAUCACCAGCAACCACAAACUAA